This 276-nucleotide unclassified non-coding RNA is filed under the name Hevea brasiliensis (rubber tree). Lineage: Eukaryota; Viridiplantae; Streptophyta; Magnoliopsida; Malpighiales; Euphorbiaceae. The record is from RNAcentral.
UGCCAUCUAGCUACAUAGUAAGAGUAUAGAGAUUCACAUUUUCUUUUCCUUUCUGUGUACACAACUUUGUACAUAGGUUUGAGUCCUGAAGUUAAGUACCCUGUCUCCAAAAUGCAGGGGAAGGCUUCGUUACAAGUCCUCUUUAACUCCUAGUAGAUAACUAGAUAUGUGAUUUGCUAUUCAUCACAUGUAUGAUAGACGAUCCUCCUCUUAUCAUCCGUCGCUAAGCAAAAUAGGAAUUUUGGGAUAUGAUUUUUUAUUCUUCGCAAAAAAAAA